RNAcentral lists this ribosomal RNA (253 nucleotides) under uncultured bacterium. RNAcentral describes it as "partial 16S ribosomal RNA". It matches the Rfam family "Bacterial small subunit ribosomal RNA", at positions 524 to 776 of the family's 1533-position model. The record is from RNAcentral.
UACGUAGGGUACAAGCGUUGUCCGGAAUUAUUGGGCGUAAAGAGCUCGUAGGCGGUCUGUCGCGUCUGCUGUGAAAACUCAGGGCUUAACCCUGAGCUUGCAGUGGGUACGGGCAGACUAGAGUGCGGUAGGGGAGACUGGAAUUCCUGGUGUAGCGGUGAAAUGCGCAGAUAUCAGGAGGAACACCGAUGGCGAAGGCAGGUCUCUGGGCAUUAACUGACGCUGAGGAGCGAAAGCAUGGGGAGCGAACAGG